UGGGAAUGUCAUCCUGGGCACGCUGUAGC
RNAcentral lists this non-coding RNA (29 nucleotides) under Homo sapiens (human). Lineage: Eukaryota; Metazoa; Chordata; Mammalia; Primates; Hominidae. The record is from RNAcentral.